CCUACGGGAGGCAGCAGUGAGGAAUAUUGGUCAAUGGGCGCUAGCCUGAACCAGCCAAGUAGCGUGAAGGAUGACUGCCCUAUGGGUUGUAAACUUCUUUUAUAUGGGAAUAAAGUGCAGUAUGUAUACUGCUUUGCAUGUACCUUACGAAUAAGCAUCGGCUAACUCCGUGCCAGCAGCCGCGGUAAUACGGGGGAUGCAAGCGUUAUCCGGGUUUAUUGGGUGUAAAGGGUGCGUAGGCGGUGGGUUAAUUUAGCGGUGCAAUGCCCCCGCUCCACGGGGUGAAGUGCCAUUGAUACUGCCUUGCUGGACUGCGGAUGCCGUGGGAGGACUGUGUGGUGUAGCGGUGAAAUGCAUAGAUAUCACACAGAACACCGAUUGCGAAGGCAUCUCACGAAGCCGCGAUUGACGCUGAUGCACGAACGCGUGGGUAUCAAACAGGAUUAGAUACCCUUGUAGUC
Molecule: ribosomal RNA, 461 nt
Filed under: uncultured bacterium
Lineage: Bacteria
Description: partial 16S ribosomal RNA
Rfam family: Bacterial small subunit ribosomal RNA
Source: RNAcentral